This 693-nucleotide ribosomal RNA is filed under the name Azanza lampas. RNAcentral describes it as "eukaryotic LSU rRNA". The stretch from base 283 to 438 matches the Rfam family "5.8S ribosomal RNA". Lineage: Eukaryota; Viridiplantae; Streptophyta; Magnoliopsida; Malvales; Malvaceae. The record is from RNAcentral.
UCCGUAGGUGAACCUGCGGAAGGAUCAUUGUCGAAACCAGCCCCGCAGAACGACCCGCGAACGCGUUGCACACGACACCGGGGGCGGCUCUCGUCGCCCCCAGCGUCUCGGAGCGAUCGGUCCCGUCGGGUCCGACCCCUCCGGGGCAAAACGAACAAACCCCCGGCGCGAAUCGCGCCAAGGAAUCGAAAAGAAAAAGGGGGGCACGUCUCCCGUCGCCGCACCGCCCGCGGUGCCGGUGCUUCGGGGACGGCGUCCUCCGGUCGCAAAAUAAUACAUAACGACUCUCGGCAACGGAUAUCUCGGCUCUCGCAUCGAUGAAGAACGUAGCGAAAUGCGAUACUUGGUGUGAAUUGCAGAAUCCCGUGAACCAUCGAGUCUUUGAACGCAAGUUGCGCCCCAAGCCAUUAGGCCGAGGGCACGUCUGCCUGGGUGUCACGCAUCGUCGCCCCCCUCCAACCCCGGUUGGACCGCGGGCGGAAAUUGGCCUCCCGCGCGCUCGGUGCUAGCGGUUGGCCUAAAUUCGAGUCCUCGGCGACGGCAUCGUCACGACGAUCGGUGGUAACGCCGUCCAUCGGCCGCCUCGUUCGGAGUCGUGCACGUUCGUCGAUCGGGACCCUCGACCCUCUCGGCACCGCGAGGACGGUGCUCGCAUCGCGACCCCAGGUCAGGCGGGAUUACCCGCUGAGUUUA